AACGAACGCUGGCGGCAUGCCUAACACAUGCAAGUCGAACGAGACCUUCGGGUCUAGUGGCGCACGGGUGCGUAACGCGUGGGAACCUGCCCUUAGGUUCGGAAUAACUCCCCGAAGGGGUGCUAAUACCGGAUAAUGUCUUCGGACCAAAGAUUUAUCGCCUUUGGAUGGGCCCGCGUUGGCUUAGCUAGUUGGUAGGGUAAAAGCCUACCAAGGCGACGAUCCAUAGCUGGUCUGAGAGGAUGAUCAGCCACACUGGGACUGAGACACGGCCCAGACUCCUACGGGAGGCAGCAGUGGGGAAUAUUGGACAAUGGGCGAAAGCCUGAUCCAGCAAUGCCGCGUGAGUGAUGAAGGCCUUAGGGUUGUAAAGCUCUUUUACCCGGGAUGAUAAUGACAGUACCGGGAGAAUAAGCUCCGGCUAACUCCGUG
Molecule: ribosomal RNA, 432 nt
Filed under: uncultured bacterium
Lineage: Bacteria
Description: partial 16S ribosomal RNA
Rfam family: Bacterial small subunit ribosomal RNA
Source: RNAcentral